AGCUCCAAUAGCGUAUAUUAAAGUUGUUGCGGUAAAAAAGCUCGUAGUUGGAUUUCUGUCAAGGAAGACCGGUCCACACAAUGUGUGCGCAUCUGGCUCGGCCUCGGCAUCCUCUCGACGUACGUUUCUGCGCUUGAUUGCGUGGUGCGGAUUUCGGGACUUUUACUUUGAGGAAAUUAGAGUGUUCACGGCAGGCUAUCGCCAGAAUACAUUAGCAUGGAAUAAUACUAUAGGAUCUCGGUUCUAUUUUGUUGGUUUCUAGAGUUGAGAUAAUGAUUAAUAGGGACAAUUGGGGGCAUUCGUAUCAACACGUCAGAGGUGGAAUUCUUGGAUUGUGUUGCGACGAACUACUGCGAAAGCAUUUGCCAAGGAUGUUUUCA
RNAcentral lists this ribosomal RNA (380 nucleotides) under uncultured eukaryote. RNAcentral's name for it is "SSU rRNA". It matches the Rfam family "Eukaryotic small subunit ribosomal RNA", at positions 587 to 972 of the family's 1831-position model. The record is from RNAcentral.